UACGUAGGGCGCAAGCGUUAUCCGGAAUUAUUGGGCGUAAAGAGCUCGUAGGCGGUUUGUCGCGUCUGCCGUGAAAGUCCGGGGCUCAACCCCGGGCCUGCAGCCGAUACGGGCAGACUAGAAUUCGGUAGGGGAGACUGGAAUUCCUGGUGUAGCGGUGAAAUGCGCAGAUAUCAGGAGGAACACCGGUGGCGAAGGCGGGUCUCUGGGCCGAUAUUGACGCUGAGGAGCGAAAGCGUGGGGAGCGAACAGG
This 253-nucleotide ribosomal RNA is filed under the name uncultured bacterium. Its description in RNAcentral is "partial 16S ribosomal RNA". It matches the Rfam family "Bacterial small subunit ribosomal RNA", at positions 524 to 776 of the family's 1533-position model. The record is from RNAcentral.